RNAcentral lists this long non-coding RNA (1115 nucleotides) under Pan troglodytes (chimpanzee). Its description in RNAcentral is "long non-coding RNA NONPTRT006439". Lineage: Eukaryota; Metazoa; Chordata; Mammalia; Primates; Hominidae. The record is from RNAcentral.
GCUCCAUCCCAUGCCAUUUAAUUCCAUUUUCUUCCUUAGCUUCUCCAUGCCUUGGCUUCCCUGUUGGGGUGAUUUCAGCACCACAUGGAGGACAGCAGCCUGGGAGCUGUCCAUGGAGCUGAAUUCACGGGAGGGCACCUGGUGGAGAAGGCGGGGUCGGGCUGGAGGUGGGGGUGGGAGGGAAUCAGCAGGGGAUGGCCAGAAAUGGAGGGAGCUUGCGUCCAUUGGGCACAACUGGGUCUUCCACGCCAUGACAGCUCAUGGAGUCAGCCUUUCCUGUCGUUCCAGGUAGCCCCAGUUGGGAGCUGAGGUGUGUUGAUUGGGGCUCUGGGAACCAUAGCCUACCAGCUGUGGCUUGGCCAUCCCCUCUGCCAGCGCUUUCCCGCCCAUCAGCCCUUUUCCCUGGAGUCCCUCCUUCAGCCAGGUCCUGAAAAGUCAUACCUUUUGGCCAAGCUGCUGAAAAUACCACUCAGCCAGAACUCAUGUGCUCAUGCCAGCCUCAUUCAUGACACCCCCCAAACCAGAAACAGCCCAGGAGCCGAUCAACAGCUUCAUGGGAAAAUGUAUUGCAGUCUAUCCCAUCACCGGGCUCUUCCGCGGCAGUGGAGACGGGCGAAUCACGGUCUAUCCCAUCGCCGGGCUCUUCCGCGGCAGUGGAGAUGGGCGAAUUGCAGUUAUGCGCAGCACGGAAGCCUCUCUCAAACAAUCACAUUGAGCAGAAGUGGCCAGGCCCAAUUCUGUGGAAUUCUGUGUGGAUCACAAACAGGCAACAUAGAGGAUGAUGGAGACUCACUGUGUGGCCGAACCUGGAGUUGCAGCGGUGGGACCUCGGCUCACGGCAGCCUCUGCCUCCCAGUUGAAGUGAUUCUCAUGCCUCAGCCUCCUGAGUAGCUGGAAUUACAUGCGCCUGCCACCAUGCCAGGUUAAUUUUUCGUAUUUUUAGUAGAGAUUGGGUUUCACCAGGUUGGCCAGGCUGAUCUCGAACUUCUGAUCUCAGGUGAUCUGCCCACUUUGGCCUCCCAAAGUGCUGGGAUUACAAGGCAUGAGCCACGGCCCCCAGCCCAAAAUGGUUAAUUUUAUGUUACGUGAAUUUCACUCAAUAAAAAAAAAACAGG